Molecule: small RNA, 1104 nt
Filed under: Quambalaria cyanescens
Lineage: Eukaryota; Fungi; Basidiomycota; Exobasidiomycetes; Microstromatales; Quambalariaceae
Description: eukaryotic LSU rRNA
Rfam family: Eukaryotic large subunit ribosomal RNA (bases 574-1104)
Source: RNAcentral
UCAUUAGUGAAUUUCAGGGACUCCACUCUGUGGAUCCCGACCCUCACAUUAUCCACAUACACUUGUGCACUGUUGGUUGGGUGUGAACCUUGGUUUAUCACCUGCCAACGCCAAUUAUACAAACUCUGAGAACUAUGAAUGUGAAUUUAACUUGCCAAUUUUUGGCGAAAUUAAAUACAACUUUCGACAACGGAUCUCUUGGUUCUCCCAUCGAUGAAGAACGCAGCGAAUUGCGAUAAGUAAUGUGAAUUGCAGAAUUCAGUGAAUCAUCGAAUCUUUGAACGCACCUUGCGCUCCCUGGUAUUCCUAGGAGCAUGCCUGUUUGAGUGUCAUGAAUUCCUCAAACCCCAAUGUUUUGCAAAAUUCAUUGCUUGGGUUUGGUUGUGGGCCUAUAUUGCUGCUUCACGGCAGCUGGCCUUAAAGAUAUUAGCUGGACUCUCCGAGAACUCUUGGAUAGUUCCACUUGAUGUGAUAAAUUUGCAUCGGUGGGUCAAGACUAUGCUUGGGAAGUGUGAGAAGUCUGCUUCUAAUCCGGCGAGAGGUUCCAUCCUCGACCCAAUUCAUUUACAACUCUGGCCUCAAAUCAGGCGGCGAGUGAAGCGGGAAGAGCUCAAUUUGAAAGCUGGCACCUUCGGUGUCCGCGUUGUAAUCUCGAGAAGUGUUUUCCGUGCUGGACCAUGUACAAGUUCCUUGGAAUAGGACGUCAUAGAGGGUGAAAAUCCCGUACUUGACAUGGACGCCCAGUGCUUUGUGAUACACUCUCCACGAGUCGAGUUGUUUGGGAAUGCAGCUCAAAAUGGGUGGUAAAUUCCAUCUAAAGCUAAAUAUUGGGGAGAGACCGAUAGCGAACAAGUACCGUGAGGGAAAGAUGAAAAGCACUUUGGAAAGAGAGUUAAACAGUACGUGAAAUUGUCGAAAGGGAAGCGCUUGAAGUUAGACAUGCUUGCCGGGAUUCAGCCUUGCUUUUGCUUGGUGCAUUUCCCGGUGUGCAGGCCAGCAUCAGUUUUGUUUGCCGGAUAAGGGUGAGAGGAACGUGGCCCCUCGGGGUGUUAUAGCCUCUCACUGGAUACGGCGGAUGGGACUGAGGACCGCAGUGUGCCUUUA